Molecule: ribosomal RNA, 500 nt
Filed under: uncultured bacterium
Lineage: Bacteria
Description: bacterial SSU rRNA
Rfam family: Bacterial small subunit ribosomal RNA
Source: RNAcentral
GAUGAACGCUAGCUACAGGCUUAACACAUGCAAGUCGAGGGGCAGCGGGAUUGAAGCUUGCUUCAAUUGCCGGCGACCGGCGCACGGGUGAGUAACGCGUAUCCAACCUUCCGUACACUCAGGGAUAGCCUUUCGAAAGAAAGAUUAAUACCUGAUGGUAUGAUGAGAUUGCAUGAUAGCAUCAUUAAAGAUUUAUCGGUGUACGAUGGGGAUGCGUUCCAUUAGGUAGUAGGCGGGGUAACGGCCCACCUAGCCAACGAUGGAUAGGGGUUCUGAGAGGAAGGUCCCCCANAUUGGAACUGAGACACGGUCCAAACUCCUACGGGAGGCAGCAGUGAGGAAUAUUGGUCAAUGGACGAGAGUCUGAACCAGCCAAGUAGCGUGAAGGAUGACUGCCCUAUGGGUUGUAAACUUCUUUUAUAAAGGAAUAAAGUCGGGUAUGUAUACCCGUUUGCAUGUACUUUAUGAAUAAGGAUCGGCUAACUCCGUGCCAGCAGCCG